Molecule: ribosomal RNA, 357 nt
Filed under: Klebsiella pneumoniae
Lineage: Bacteria; Pseudomonadati; Pseudomonadota; Gammaproteobacteria; Enterobacterales; Enterobacteriaceae
Description: bacterial LSU rRNA
Rfam family: Bacterial large subunit ribosomal RNA
Source: RNAcentral
ACACGUGGUAUCCUGUCUGAAUAUGGGGGGACCAUCCUCCAAGGCUAAAUACUCCUGACUGACCGAUAGUGAACCAGUACCGUGAGGGAAAGGCGAAAAAGAACCCCGGCGAGGGGAGUGAAAAAGAACCUGAAACCGUGUACGUACAAGCAGUGGGAGCACCUUCGGGUGUGACUGCGUACCUUUUGUAUAAUGGGUCAGCGACUUAUAUUCUGUAGCAAGGUUAACCGUAUAGGGGAGCCGCAGGGAAACCGAGUCUUAACUGGGCGUUAAGUUGCAGGGUAUAGACCCGAAACCCGGUGAUCUAGCCAUGGGCAGGUUGAAGGUUGGGUAACACUAACUGGAGGACCGAACCGA